Nocardia asteroides NBRC 15531 is the source of this 1814-nucleotide ribosomal RNA. It matches the Rfam family "Bacterial large subunit ribosomal RNA", at positions 1222 to 2925 of the family's 2925-position model. Lineage: Bacteria; Bacillati; Actinomycetota; Actinomycetes; Mycobacteriales; Nocardiaceae. The record is from Rfam.
GGAUGGGUAGGGGAGCGUCCUGUGGCCGUGGAAGCAGCGGAGUGAUCCAGCUGUGGAGGCCACGGGAGUGAGAAUGCAGGCAUGAGUAGCGAAAGACGAGUGAGAAACUCGUCCGCCGAAUGACCAAGGGUUCCUGGGCCAGGUUAAUCCGCCCAGGGUGAGUCGGGACCUAAGGCGAGGCCGACAGGCGUAGUCGAUGGACAACGGGUUGAUAUUCCCGUACCCGUGUAUCCGCGCCCAAUGGCGAAUCAGUUGUGCUAAUCGUCCAAAUGUUUUCUUAUCGAGCCUUCGGGUGAGAGGGAGAAUUGCUGCACGAGACCCUGGCUGUAGUAGUCAAGCGAUGGGGUGACGCAGGAAGGUAGCUGGGCCAGGUGAUGGAAUACCUGGUGUAAGCCUGUAGGGCGUUGUGUAGGCAAAUCCGCACAACAUGUAGCCUGAGAGGUGAUGCGUAGCCGUUGUGGUGAAUUCAGUGAUCCUAUGCUGCCGAGAAAAGCCUCUAGUGAGUUGGUACACGGCCCGUACCCCAAACCGACACAGGUGGUCAGGUAGAGAAUACUAAGGCGAUCGAGAGAACUGUGGUUAAGGAACUCGGCAAAAUGCCCCCGUAACUUCGGGAGAAGGGGGACCACGCCUGGUGACGAGUCUUGCACUCUGAGCUGGGUGGGGUCGCAGAGACCAGAGAGAAGCGACUGUUUACUAAAAACACAGGUCCGUGCGAAGUCGUAAGACGAUGUAUACGGACUGACGCCUGCCCGGUGCCGGAAGGUUAAGAGGACCGGUUAGCGCUUCGGCGCGAAGCUGAGAAUUUAAGCCCCGGUAAACGGCGGUGGUAACUAUAACCAUCCUAAGGUAGCGAAAUUCCUUGUCGGGUAAGUUCCGACCUGCACGAAUGGCGUAACGACUUCUCUGCUGUCUCAACCACAGACUCGGCGAAAUUGCAUUACGAGUAAAGAUGCUCGUUACGCGCGGCAGGACGAAAAGACCCCGGGACCUUCACUAUAGCUUGGUAUUGGUGUUCGGUACGGUUUGUGUAGGAUAGGUGGGAGACUGUGAAGCUUGGACGCCAGUUCAGGUGGAGUCGUCGUUGAAAUACCACUCUGAUCGUAUUGGACUUCUAACCUCGGACCAUGAUCUGGUUCAGGGACAGUGCCUGGUGGGUAGUUUAACUGGGGCGGUUGCCUCCCAAAAUGUAACGGAGGCGCCCAAAGGUUCCCUCAGCCUGGUUGGCAAUCAGGUGUCGAGUGCAAGUGCACAAGGGAGCUUGACUGUGAGAGUGACAGCUCGAGCAGGGACGAAAGUCGGGACUAGUGAUCCGGCACCGGCAAGUGGAAGCGGUGUCGCUCAACGGAUAAAAGGUACCCCGGGGAUAACAGGCUGAUCUUCCCCAAGAGUCCAUAUCGACGGGAUGGUUUGGCACCUCGAUGUCGGCUCGUCGCAUCCUGGGGCUGGAGUAGGUCCCAAGGGUUGGGCUGUUCGCCCAUUAAAGCGGCACGCGAGCUGGGUUUAGAACGUCGUGAGACAGUUCGGUCUCUAUCCGCCGCGCGCGUUAGAAACUUGAGGAAGGCUGUCCCUAGUACGAGAGGACCGGGACGGACGAACCUCUGGUGUGCCAGUUGUUCCGCCAGGAGCACUGCUGGUUGGCUACGUUCGGAAGGGAUAACCGCUGAAAGCAUCUAAGCGGGAAGCCUGUUCCAAGAUGAGGUUUCUCUCCCACUUGAUGGGUUAAGGCCCCCUACAGACCAUGGGGUUGAUAGGCCGGAACUGGAAGCACAGUAAUGUGUGUAGGUGACUGGUACUAAUAGGCCGAGGGCUUA